UGAGGAAUAUUGGUCAAUGGGCGCGAGCCUGAACCAGCCAAGCAGCGUGCAGGAAGACGGCACUAUGGGUUGUAAACUGCUUUUAUGCGGGGAUAAAGGAGUCCACGUGUGGAUUUUUGCAGGUACCGCAUGAAUAAGGACCGGCUAAUUCCGUGCCAGCAGCCGCGGUAAUACGGAAGGUCCGGGCGUUAUCCGGAUUUAUUGGGUUUAAAGGGAGCGUAGGCCGCGUUUUAAGCGUGUUGUGAAAUGUAGACGCCCAACGUCUGCAUCGCAGCGCGAACUGGGACGCUUGAGUACGCGCAACGUUGGCGGAAUUCGUCGUGUAGCGGUGAAAUGCUUAGAUAUGACGAGGAACUCCGAUUGCGAAGGCAGCUGACGGGAGCGGCACUGACGCUUAAGCUCGAAGGUGCGGGUAUCAAACAGG
Molecule: ribosomal RNA, 424 nt
Filed under: Verrucomicrobiota bacterium
Lineage: Bacteria; Pseudomonadati; Verrucomicrobiota
Description: Verrucomicrobia bacterium partial 16S ribosomal RNA
Rfam family: Bacterial small subunit ribosomal RNA
Source: RNAcentral